UCGAUGUAUGGCUAGUGUGGCGCGAGUGACACAACGUGGAACCGUAAUAGGAUCUGCAAGGGCUUCUCAAACCAUCCGAAUCAUACAUCGAUUGUAACUCAUGGUGGGUGUCUUUUUAAGCAACCAAACCAGACAACAGUUGUGGCUGGUUUUGUUCUCUUCGUAUCGUGC
This 171-nucleotide unclassified non-coding RNA is filed under the name Machaeranthera tanacetifolia. RNAcentral's name for it is "partial external transcribed spacer". The record is from RNAcentral. Lineage: Eukaryota; Viridiplantae; Streptophyta; Magnoliopsida; Asterales; Asteraceae.